ACCUAGCCGACGAGUCCCAAAUAGGACGAAACGCGCAUCCUGAAU
Non-coding RNA from Schistosoma mattheei, 45 nucleotides. NCBI's taxonomy places the organism in Eukaryota, Metazoa, Platyhelminthes, Trematoda, Strigeidida, Schistosomatidae. The record is from Rfam.